GACCCGUUAGUCAAGCGGUUAAGACACUAUCUUCUCAAGGUAGAAACAGGAGUUCGAGUCUCUUACGGGUUACCA
RNAcentral lists this transfer RNA (75 nucleotides) under Clostridium botulinum. RNAcentral's name for it is "tRNA-Glu". It matches the Rfam family "tRNA". From Rfam's summary of the family: Transfer RNA (tRNA) molecules are approximately 80 nucleotides in length. Their secondary structure includes four short double-helical elements and three loops (D, anti-codon, and T loops). Further hydrogen bonds mediate the characteristic L-shaped molecular structure. tRNAs have two regions of fundamental functional importance: the anti-codon, which is responsible for specific mRNA codon recognition, and the 3' end, to which the tRNAs corresponding amino acid is attached (by aminoacyl-tRNA synthetases). tRNAs cope with the degeneracy of the genetic code in two manners: having more than one tRNA (with a specific anti-codon) for a particular amino acid; and 'wobble' base-pairing, i.e. permitting non-standard base-pairing at the 3rd anti-codon position. The record is from RNAcentral. Lineage: Bacteria; Bacillati; Bacillota; Clostridia; Eubacteriales; Clostridiaceae.